GCUUGCAUCAUGAUUUACAUUUGAGUGAGUGGCGAACUGGUGAGUAACACGUGGGAAACCUGCCCAGAAGCGGGGGAUAACACCUGGAAACAGAUGCUAAUACCGCAUAACAACUUGGACCGCAUGGUCCGAGCUUGAAAGAUGGCUUCGGCUAUCACUUUUGGAUGGUCCCGCGGCGUAUUAGCUAGAUGGUGGGGUAACGGCUCACCAUGGCAAUGAUACGUAGCCGACCUGAGAGGGUAAUCGGCCACAUUGGGACUGAGACACGGCCCAAACUCCUACGGGAGGCAGCAGUAGGGAAUCUUCCACAAUGGACGAAAGUCUGAUGGAGCAACGCCGCGUGAGUGAAGAAGGGUUUCGGCUCGUAAAACUCUGUUGUUAAAGAAGAACAUAUCUGAGAGUAACUGUUCAGGUAUUGACGGUAUUUAACCAGAAAGCCACGGCUAACUACGUGCCAGCAGCCGCGGUAAUACGUAGGUGGCAAGCGUUGUCCGGAUUUAUUGGGCGUAAAGCGAGCGCAGGCGGUUUUUUAAGUCUGAUGUGAAAGCCUUCGGCUCAACCGAAGAAGUGCAUCGGAAACUGGGAAACUUGAGUGCAGAAGAGGACAGUGGAACUCCAUGUGUAGCGGUGAAAUGCGUAGAUAUAUGGAAGAACACCAGUGGCGAAGGCGGCUGUCUGGUCUGUAACUGACGCUGAGGCUCGAAAGUAUGGGUAGCAAACAGGAUUAGAUACCCUGGUAGUCCAUACCGUAAACGAUGAAUGCUAAGUGUUGGAGGGUUUCCGCCCUUCAGUGCUGCAGCUAACGCAUUAAGCAUUCCGCCUGGGGAGUACGGCCGCAAGGCUGAAACUCAAAGGAAUUGACGGGGGCCCGCACAAGCGGUGGAGCAUGUGGUUUAAUUCGAAGCUACGCGAAGAACCUUACCAGGUCUUGACAUACUAUGCAAAUCUAAGAGAUUAGACGUUCCCUUCGGGGACAUGGAUACAGGUGGUGCAUGGUUGUCGUCAGCUCGUGUCGUGAGAUGUUGGGUUAAGUCCCGCAACGAGCGCAACCCUUAUUAUCAGUUGCCAGCAUUAAGUUGGGCACUCUGGUGAGACUGCCGGUGACAAACCGGAGGAAGGUGGGGAUGACGUCAAAUCAUCAUGCCCCUUAUGACCUGGGCUACACACGUGCUACAAUGGAUGGUACAACGAGUUGCGAACUCGCGAGAGUAAGCUAAUCUCUUAAAGCCAUUCUCAGUUCGGAUUGUAGGCUGCAACUCGCCUACAUGAAGUCGGAAUCGCUAGUAAUCGCGGAUCAGCAUGCCGCGGUGAAUACGUUCCCGGGCCUUGUACACACCGCCCGUCACACCAUGAGAGUUUGUAACACCCAAA
Molecule: ribosomal RNA, 1371 nt
Filed under: Lactiplantibacillus plantarum
Lineage: Bacteria; Bacillati; Bacillota; Bacilli; Lactobacillales; Lactobacillaceae
Description: bacterial SSU rRNA
Rfam family: Bacterial small subunit ribosomal RNA
Source: RNAcentral